AACGAACGCUGGCGGCAUGCCUAACACAUGCAAGUCGAACGAGACCUUCGGGUCUAGUGGCGCACGGGUGCGUAACGCGUGGGAACCUGCCCUUAGGUUCGGAAUAACUCCCCGAAAGGGGUGCUAAUACCGGAUAAUGUCUUCGGACCAAAGAUUUAUCACCUUUGGAUGGGCCCGCGUUGGAUUAGCUAGUUGGUAGGGUAAAAGCCUACCAAGGCGACGAUCCAUAGCUGGUCUGAGAGGAUGAUCAGCCACACUGGGACUGAGACACGGCCCAGACUCCUACGGGAGGCAGCAGUGGGGAAUAUUGGACAAUGGGCGAAAGCCUGAUCCAGCAAUGCCGCGUGAGUGAUGAAGGCCUUAGGGUUGUAAAGCUCUUUUACCCGGGAUGAUAAUGACAGUACCGGGAGAAUAAGCUCCGGCUAACUCCGUG
Molecule: ribosomal RNA, 433 nt
Filed under: uncultured bacterium
Lineage: Bacteria
Description: partial 16S ribosomal RNA
Rfam family: Bacterial small subunit ribosomal RNA
Source: RNAcentral